This 1325-nucleotide ribosomal RNA is filed under the name Mallinella calilungae. RNAcentral describes it as "partial 28S ribosomal RNA". It matches the Rfam family "Eukaryotic large subunit ribosomal RNA", at positions 677 to 1878 of the family's 3401-position model. Lineage: Eukaryota; Metazoa; Arthropoda; Arachnida; Araneae; Zodariidae. The record is from RNAcentral.
GACAUGUGCGCGAGUCGAAGGGGCUCGACCAAGCCCGGAGGCGCAGAGAAAUCGUUUCCGGGGAUCCCUCCGCUCUGGCGGCUGGGCGCACCCGGGGCCCGUCCGAACGUGGGUUCCGACCUCUGAAGUAGGACGGAGUCUGAGCGCACGCGUUCCGACCCGAUAGACGGUGAACUAUGCCCGGGCGGGACGAAGCCGGGGGAAACCCCGGUGGAAGUCCGAAGCGGUUCUGACGUGCAAAUCGAUCGUCUGACCGGGGUAUAGGGGCGAUAGACCAAUCGAACCGUCUGGUAGCUGGUUCCCUCCGAAGUUUCCCUCAGGAUAGCUGGCGCUCGAGGGUGAAACGGUCUCGUCCGAUAAAGCGAAUGACUAGAGGCAGCCGGGCCGAAACGACCUGGACCUAUUCUCAAACUUUAAAUGGGCGAGAGGACCGCCCGUCCCAUCCGCGGGUCGGACCAUCUCGUAGACGAGAGUGCCCAGUGGGCCGCUUUUGGUAAGCAGAACCGGCGCUGCGGGAUGAACCGAAUGCGGGGUUAAGGCGCCCGAUGCGGGACGCUCACGAGACCCCAUGAAAGGCGUCGGUCGCUCCAGACAACAGGACGGUGGCCAUGGAAGUCGGAACCCGCCAAGGAGUGUGUAACAACUCGCCUGCCGAAGCGACCGGCCCUGAAAAUGGAUGGCGCUCCAGCGUCGAGCCCAUACCCCGCCGCCGGGGCAGAAAUACUGCAUAUCGAUAUGCCCCGGCGAGUAGGAGGGAGCGCCUCGGUGCGGCGCGGAAGGGUAGGUGCGCGAGCACGCCCGGAGCCGCCGAGGGUGCAGAUCUUGGUGGUAGUAGCAAAUACUCGAGUGAGAGCCUCGAGGACCGAAGUCGGAGAAGGGUUCCAUGUGAACAGCAGUUGAACAUGGGUCAGUCGGUCCGUGAGGGGCGGGUGAAAACCCGAUCAGCGGCCUACUUUACGUGGCCGCGUAGCCCCGAACGGGAAGGGGGUUAAUAUUCCCCCACCUGCACACGGAGGUCGGGGACYGAGURGCUUGGCAGUCCGGGUCGAAAGGCCUGGUUCGCCUCGCCGCAAAGUCCCCCGACGCGGUAACGCAACCGGACUCGGCGACGGCUGCGGAGGACCCGGGGAAGAGAUGCCUCUUCUUCUUAAGAGGCCCGUAUCCCUGGAAUCGGUUCAUCCGGAGAUAGGGAUGAGUGGCUUCGGAAGAGCACCGCGACUCCCGCGGUGUCCGGUCCCCCUCUGCGGUCCCUUGAAAAACCGAGCGAGGGGCAUGAUUUUCGUGGCAGGCCGUACCUCAAUCCGCACCAGGUCUCCAAGGUGAAC